Long non-coding RNA from Malaya genurostris, 803 nucleotides. RefSeq lists it as uncharacterized. The record is from RefSeq and is a predicted model, not a curated record. NCBI's taxonomy places the organism in Eukaryota, Metazoa, Arthropoda, Insecta, Diptera, Culicidae. The transcript has 3 exons.
UCGGCAGAGUAGGUUGCUCUUUGCCUUGUGGUGCACUCCUGAAAAGCGCGCAACAGUUUUCCAAAAUUCAACGUUCCUCCCCCAAGCAACCCGGUCCCAGUUGCUGGAAUGAUUAAGACAAGUUAUAUUCAGACAUGAUAGCAAAGUGAAGUUUAGCAUUGGGAACACAUCUAUACAAUACAGUUCGGUCCGUUUCUUGCUACUUUUACUAAUAGCACAAGUGCUUUUCUGACGUGCGAUGCGAAAAAUUUUUAUGGUUCCAUUUUCUGUCAUAUUUAGCUUGGCUGCGUGUUUGCAUAAAAUUUGUAUUAUUUCGAAUGUGUGUUGGAAUAUUUCACCAGUAUAUACUUCAUUAAAGAGUUCCUGACGUGGAUCGUUAAAGCAGUAAAAUAAAUUUGUAUCUCUGCAGAUUUGUAUAUAUACAGACUGGUGAACAUUGGCGGGAUAAAAUGCAUCCUUAGUCAGUCGGAUUGCGACUACAUUAGUAUCAUCAGUUCCUCUACAUAAUCUAUGUAAACAAAUUUACGCUGUAUGUGACACCUAAUAUACACUAUAAUUGAUGGAAGUAAUUGAAAGUAAAUUUGUAGUCAUUAUUUCUAGACGUCUGAUAAGAUUCUAUAUGUUAAGUAAAGUGAUGGAAGCAAUUAGUAUUUACAAAUGAUAUUACAAAAGUUGAACGAUCAGCUGUGUUAGCGAUAUGCAGAUUCGCACAACUUGAAACAUCAGUUCAAAGCCUCUGAAAUCCAUACCUGAAUUACCUAAAAUGACAUGAACCACUCUCAUUUAAACGAACAACAAUGUAC